Molecule: non-coding RNA, 21 nt
Filed under: Arabidopsis thaliana (thale cress)
Lineage: Eukaryota; Viridiplantae; Streptophyta; Magnoliopsida; Brassicales; Brassicaceae
Source: RNAcentral
CAGGGGGUCGAGUGGUCUGCU